Molecule: ribosomal RNA, 390 nt
Filed under: Olavius imperfectus
Lineage: Eukaryota; Metazoa; Annelida; Clitellata; Tubificida; Naididae
Description: partial 12S ribosomal RNA
Source: RNAcentral
UUAUAACCUAAUGUACAACGAUAAACAAAAACUACAGUUUUAAAAUCAAAGAUCUUGGCAGUGUCUUAUAUAAUCAGGGGAACCUGUUACUUAAUAUGAUAAUCCACAAAUAUCUUACUAUAUCUAGAAACUCUCAGUCUGUAUACUGCCGUAAAAGUUUAACUUAAAAACCUAAACAAUAAAUUAAUCCUCAUAAAUAUAAAACCUCAGGUCAAAGUACAACUAAUGAUAUAGAGUAAAAAAAUGGGUUACAUUUAUCUAACUAUAUAAAACUAACUUAUUACAUAAAUUAAAUAUAAAAGAACUUGAUAGUAAUAAAAUUUUUACUAUAAAUUUAUCAAUAAUUUAAUAAUACAUGCACAUAUCGCCCGUCACUCUCGUUGAAAAAUG